UACGAAGGGGGCUAGCGUUGUUCGGAGUUACUGGGCGUAAAGGGCGCGUAGGCGGCGCAUCAAGUCAGGCGUGAAAGCCCUGGGCUCAACCCGGGAAUUGCGCUUGAGACUGGUGUGCUCGAGUACGGGAGAGGAUAGUGGAAUUCCCAGUGUAGAGGUGAAAUUCGUAGAUAUUGGGAAGAACACCAGUGGCGAAGGCGGCUAUCUGGACCGUAACUGACGCUGAGGCGCGAAAGCGUGGGGAGCAAACAGG
This 253-nucleotide ribosomal RNA is filed under the name uncultured bacterium. Its description in RNAcentral is "partial 16S ribosomal RNA". It matches the Rfam family "Bacterial small subunit ribosomal RNA", at positions 524 to 776 of the family's 1533-position model. The record is from RNAcentral.